ACUUAAGUAGUUUAAAAAAAAUUUUGAUUUGUGGUAUCAAAGAUAUAGGAUUUAUUUUAAGUU
This 63-nucleotide transfer RNA is filed under the name Agetocera deformicornis. Its description in RNAcentral is "tRNA-His". The record is from RNAcentral. Lineage: Eukaryota; Metazoa; Arthropoda; Insecta; Coleoptera; Chrysomelidae.